This 390-nucleotide ribosomal RNA is filed under the name Hiatella sp. Its description in RNAcentral is "partial small subunit ribosomal RNA". It matches the Rfam family "Eukaryotic small subunit ribosomal RNA", at positions 582 to 975 of the family's 1831-position model. Lineage: Eukaryota; Metazoa; Mollusca; Bivalvia; Adapedonta; Hiatellidae. The record is from RNAcentral.
AUUCCAGCUCCAAUAGCGUAUAUUAAAGUUGUUGCAGUUAAAAAGCUCGUAGUUGGAUCUCGGGUCCAGGCUUGCGGUCCGCCUCGCGGCGGUCACUGCUCGUCCUGGCCUACCUGCCGGUGUGUCCCUUGGUGCUCUUGACUGAGUGUCUCGGGCGGCCGGAACGUUUGCUUUGAAAAAAUUAGAGUGUUCAAAGCAGGCUUGUCGCCUGAAUAAUGGUGCAUGGAAUGAUGGAAUAGGACCUCGGUUCUAUUUUGUUGGUUUUCGGAGCUCGAGGUAAUGAUUAAGAGGGACUGACGGGGGCAUUCGUACUGCGGUGUUAGAGGUGAAAUUCUUGGAUCGCCGCAAGACGAACUACAGCGAAAGCAUUUGCCAAGCAUGUUUUCAUCG